Molecule: ribosomal RNA, 397 nt
Filed under: uncultured bacterium
Lineage: Bacteria
Description: bacterial SSU rRNA
Rfam family: Bacterial small subunit ribosomal RNA
Source: RNAcentral
AUUGAACGCUGGCGGAAUGCUUUACACAUGCAAGUCGAGCGGCAGCGCGGGGGCAACCCUGGCGGCGAGCGGCGAACGGGUGAGUAAUACAUCGGAACGUGUCCUUAAGUGGGGGAUAGCUCGGCGAAAGCCGGAUUAAUACCGCAUAAGCUCUGAGGAGGAAAGCGGGGGAUUCGCAAGGACCUCGCGCUGUUGGAGCGGCCGAUGUCGGAUUAGCUAGUUGGUGGGGUAAAGGCCCACCAAGGCGACGAUCCGUAGCUGGUCUGAGAGGAUGAUCAGCCACACUGGAACUGAGACACGGUCCAGACUCCUACGGGAGGCAGCAGUGGGGAAUUUUGGACAAUGGGGGCAACCCUGAUCCAGCCAUUCCGCGUGAGUGAAGAAGGCCUGGUGUAAG